UUCCCUCGUAGCUCGACGCGCCAAACUCCAGAGUCUCUGGAAUCUUGCCUUCCAAGUCAUUAAACACGACCCUCAGAUCCUUGAGCAAGGGAAGCCUCGCCAGUCCCCCUGGUAUCGUCCCGUUGAUCCGGUUGAAAGAGAGAUCCAGCACUGUCAUGGACGUCAUUUCUCCCAGAGUCCAUGGAAUGCCUCCAGACAGUCGGUUGUGUGACAAGUUGAGCUCCCGGACUCCAGCCAGCUUUCCCAAGCUUGCGGGAAUCUCACCAGUGAGCUGGUUCGCCGACAAGUCGAGCACUCCUGGCACCUCCAACUCCCUUGCGUAUUGCUGGUACGUGUGUCCAUCCAAGGCGGCAGCCAUAUCCUCGGACACAGUUCUUCGGUAUGCAUCGGUGGAGUUCUCUGGAAACACUCCCGCCGGUGUCAUGGACGAUAUGUUGAGAGCCUGGCUCUUGUCCGCGGUCUGGAAGCCGGUCCAUUCACCGAUGGACGCCGGAAUCUCUCCACUCAGGAGGUUGGAGGAUAGAUCCAGUAGCUGCAAGGAGUCACACUUUGCGAGGCUGCCAGGAAUACCACCCGUGAGCUGGUUCUCAGAGAAAUCCACCUGUGUCAAUCGUCGAAGCUGUCCGAGAGUGGCCGGGAUGGAGCCGUCCAGCUUGUUGUUGGAGAGAUAGAGUAUGGAAAGUUUGGAAAGGUUGCCAACGGAGGGAGGGAUGGAGCCUGAAAAACUGUUGCCGUGCAGCCUCAUGUCGAUUAUCUCUGGCGAAGCUGGAGCUGGAAUCACUCCGGAGAGCUGGUUUCCGUAGAGGAGCAAACUCCGAAGCUUUGCCAUCCAGGCGAUGGACUCUGGUAUUGCUCCACGGAAGAAGUUCCUCUCGAGGACCAGCUCUUCCAGGUUGGUGCAGUUCCCGAGCUCCUCUGGUAUUGCUCCGGAGAGCUGGUUUCCAUCGAGCAUUAAAAGUCUGAGACGCUCAAGCGUGCCAAGCGAUCGAGGAACGCCUCCCAGGAGUCUGUUGUUGGAGAGGAUCAGCGUCUCCAUCCUGGGACACUUGGAGAGCUCGUCUGGAACGCUUCCUUCAAAGCGGUUCCCGUUGAGUUCCAGCGACCGAAGCCUUGUCAAGUUUCCGACGAUCGGUGACAGGAUCCCUUGGCUGUUUGUCCUCCCGAUUCCCAGAAACUCGAGCUGAGUCAUGUUCCAGAGCUGUUCCGGGACCGGACGGUCUGAGGUGUUGUUGAAACGAAAGAGUUGCAAGGUGGCCAAGCGCGGGAGCUGAAGCAGCGACACUGGAAUCGAGCCAUGCAUGAGCGAGUUUCCGUUGAUAUCAAACCACUCGAGCUUGCUGUUGUUGCCGAUCUCAGGAGGAAUUGGCCCCUCCAGCCACUGCAAGCUAUACAGUGAGAGCGCCACCAAGUUUUCGAGCCGUCCAAGCUCAUCUGGUAUCCUCCCGCCCAGAGAAUUCUCCCCGAGCGCCAAGAGCUCGAGAGACGAGCAGUUUGCAAAAACUGGUGGAAUGAGCCCUUCCAGCCGGUUUCUCUCCACGAAGAAUACUCGCAGCUCCUGCAUAGCCCCGACUUCCUGCGGAAUCCCACCUUCAACAUCAUUGCUCGUCAGCCAAAUCUCCUGGAGCUUCGAGCAGUUCGCAAGGGACGGAGGAAGAGAACCUGACAAGCGGUUGUUGUCCAGGACGAGUAUCUCCAACCUCUGGAGCGCUCCCAGCUGGGGCGGUAUCGGACCUUGAAGCUGGUUUUGCUGGGCGUUGAGAAAACGAAGAGCGCUGCAGUUGCCGAGAUCCCGAGGCAAGCUCCCAGUCAGUCUGUUACCCGAGACGUCCAAAGCUUGCAAGCUUUGCAGCAGCCCGAGCUCCGCAGGAAGAGAUCCGACCAGCCGGUUUUUGCUCACGUCCAAGACUCGCAAACUCGUCAGCUGCCCGAGUGCUGGCGACGAGAUCUCACCUGUGAAUCCAUUUCCUGCCAGAUGAAGCUCCACCACCUCUGAAUCGUCACUGUUGCAAAUCACUCCCUUCCAGUCGGUGCAUGCUCGAUCGGAGUAUUCCACAGUCCAGUCUGAGGUGUUUCCCAGUCCUAGGAGGCUCCUUUUCAAUGCAACCAAGACCCCAGCUUUGUGUGCGUUGAGUGACGCUGUAGAGGAUCCAAGCGUGCUCAACAGGAUCAGCCAUAUCAUGAGUUCCAUCAUCUGCAACUUGUUACUACUUCACUCCUCUUCCGGAUUUUGAUGGAGAGCCCU
This 2242-nucleotide long non-coding RNA is filed under the name Selaginella moellendorffii. Its description in RNAcentral is "long non-coding RNA (SMOE_LNC000564)". The record is from RNAcentral. Lineage: Eukaryota; Viridiplantae; Streptophyta; Lycopodiopsida; Selaginellales; Selaginellaceae.